CGGGACACGUGGUAUCCUGUCUGAAUAUGGGGGGACCAUCCUCCAAGGCUAAAUACUCCUGACUGACCGAUAGUGAACCAGUACCGUGAGGGAAAGGCGAAAAGAACCCCGGCGAGGGGAGUGAAAAAGAACCUGAAACCGUGUACGUACAAGCAGUGGGAGCACGCUUAGGCGUGUGACUGCGUACCUUUUGUAUAAUGGGUCAGCGACUUAUAUUCUGUAGCAAGGUUAACCGAAUAGGGGAGCCGAAGGGAAACCGAGUCUUAACUGGGCGUUAAGUUGCAGGGUAUAGACCCGAAACCCGGUGAUCUAGCCAUGGGCAGGUUGAAGGUUGGGUAACACUAACUGGAGGACCGAACCGACUAAUGUUGAAAAAUUAGCGGAUGACUUGUGGCUGGGGGUGAAAGGCCAAUCAAACCGGGAGAUAGCUGGUUCUCCCCGAAAGCUAUUUAGGUAGCGCCUCGUGAAUUCAUCUCCGGGGGUAGAGCACUGUUUCGGCAAGGGGGUCAUCCCGACUUACCAACCCGAUGCAAACUGCGAAUACCGGAGAAUGUUAUCACGGGAGACACACGGCGGGUGCUAACGUCCGUCGUGAAGAGGGAAACAACCCAGACCGCCAGCUAAGGUCCCAAAGUCAUGGUUAAGUGGGAAACGAUGUGGGAAGGCCCAGACAGCCAGGAUGUUGGCUUAGAAGCAGCCAUCAUUUAAAGAAAGCGUAAUAGCUCACUGGUCGAGUCGGCCUGCGCGGAAGAUGUAACGGGGCUAAACCAUGCACCGAAGCUGCGGCAGCGACGCUGAUGCGUUGUUGGGUAGGGGAGCGUUCUGUAAGCCUGUGAAGGUGUGCUGUGAGGCAUGCUGGAGGUAUCAGAAGUGCGAAUGCUGACAU
RNAcentral lists this ribosomal RNA (886 nucleotides) under Escherichia coli. Its description in RNAcentral is "partial 23S ribosomal RNA". It matches the Rfam family "Bacterial large subunit ribosomal RNA", at positions 418 to 1303 of the family's 2925-position model. Lineage: Bacteria; Pseudomonadati; Pseudomonadota; Gammaproteobacteria; Enterobacterales; Enterobacteriaceae. The record is from RNAcentral.